GUCUUCUGUUAGGCCAGGGUUUUUCAAUUUGUUGGUUUAUAGUUUGAAUUUAUAACGGAUUAAAUAAAAUGCAAGACACACAUUUCUGCAUGUCUAAAACAUGACUUGAUUUAUACAUAGUAUGGGCCUUUUCUUUUUAAUACAUUACUCUAAGAGCAAUGGAUUGGCCAAUCUAACUCAAUCAUUUAACCUGCAAGUGGGAAAAAUGAAUGGAGAGAGAAAGGUUGUCCCUACGGAAGAUGCACAGGGAACUUUUUCUUUCUGUGUGUUUCUCAUUUAUUAUGUGUCAAUUCAUUUUUUUUUUAGUUCUGUAAAUUAUGAAAUUUAU
Molecule: long non-coding RNA, 328 nt
Filed under: Mytilus galloprovincialis (Mediterranean mussel)
Lineage: Eukaryota; Metazoa; Mollusca; Bivalvia; Mytilida; Mytilidae
Source: RNAcentral